This is a non-coding RNA of Ciona intestinalis (vase tunicate), 71 nucleotides long. The record is from Rfam. NCBI's taxonomy places the organism in Eukaryota, Metazoa, Chordata, Ascidiacea, Phlebobranchia, Cionidae.
GCACUGGUGGUGUAGUGGUAUCAUGCAAGAUUCCCAUUCUUGCGACCCGGGUUCGUUUCCCGGGCAGUGCA